Molecule: ribosomal RNA, 520 nt
Filed under: Vibrio alginolyticus
Lineage: Bacteria; Pseudomonadati; Pseudomonadota; Gammaproteobacteria; Vibrionales; Vibrionaceae
Description: bacterial SSU rRNA
Rfam family: Bacterial small subunit ribosomal RNA
Source: RNAcentral
GGGCGCAAGCCUGAUGCAGCCAUGCCGCGUGUAUGAAGAAGGCCUUCGGGUUGUAAAGUACUUUCAGUCGUGAGGAAGGCGGYGUCGUUAAUAGCGGCGUURUUUGACGUUAGCGACAGAAGAAGCACCGGCUAACUCCGUGCCAGCAGCCGCGGUAAUACGGAGGGUGCGAGCGUUAAUCGGAAUUACUGGGCGUAAAGCGCAUGCAGGUGGUUUGUUAAGUCAGAUGUGAAAGCCCGGGGCUCAACCUCGGAAUAGCAUUUGAAACUGGCAGACUAGAGUACUGUAGAGGGGGGUAGAAUUUCAGGUGUAGCGGUGAAAUGCGUAGAGAUCUGAAGGAAUACCGGUGGCGAAGGCGGCCCCCUGGACAGAUACUGACACUCAGAUGCGAAAGCGUGGGGAGCAAACAGGAUUAGAUACCCUGGUAGUCCACGCCGUAAACGAUGUCUACUUGGAGGUUGUGGCCUUGAGCCGUGGCUUUCGGAGCUAACGCGUUAAGUAGACCGCCUGGGGAGUACGG